This 211-nucleotide ribosomal RNA is filed under the name uncultured bacterium. Its description in RNAcentral is "partial 16S ribosomal RNA". It matches the Rfam family "Bacterial small subunit ribosomal RNA", at positions 568 to 776 of the family's 1533-position model. The record is from RNAcentral.
UGCGUAGGCGGUGACAUAAGUUGGAUGUGAAAUCCCGGGGCUUAACCCCGGAACUGCAUUCAAUACUGCGUUGCUAGAGUAUUGGAGAGGAGAUUGGAAUUCACGGUGUAGCAGUGAAAUGCGUAGAUAUCGUGAGGAAGACCAGUGGCGAAGGCGAAUCUCUGGACAAUUACUGACGCUGAGGCACGAAGGGCUAGGGGAGGCAAACGGG